RNAcentral lists this ribosomal RNA (407 nucleotides) under uncultured bacterium. RNAcentral describes it as "bacterial SSU rRNA". It matches the Rfam family "Bacterial small subunit ribosomal RNA", at positions 355 to 776 of the family's 1533-position model. The record is from RNAcentral.
UGGGGAAUAUUGGGCAAUGGGCGAAAGCCUGACCCAGCAACGCCGCGUGAAGGAAGAAGGCCUUCGGGUUGUAAACUUCUUUUAUGAGGGACGAAGGACGUGACGGUACCUCAUGAAUAAGCCACGGCUAACUACGUGCCAGCAGCCGCGGUAAUACGUAGGUGGCAAGCGUUGUCCGGAUUUACUGGGUGUAAAGGGCGUGUAGGCGGAUUGACAAGUCAGAUGUGAAAUCCAUGGGCUUAACCCAUGAACUGCAUUUGAAACUAUCGGUCUUGAGUAUCGGAGAGGCAAGCGGAAUUCCUAGUGUAGCGGUGAAAUGCGUAGAUAUUAGGAGGAACACCAGUGGCGAAGGCGGCUUGCUGGACGACAACUGACGCUGAGGCGCGAAAGCGUGGGGAGCAAACAGG